Molecule: long non-coding RNA, 3815 nt
Organism: Nomascus leucogenys (northern white-cheeked gibbon)
Lineage: Eukaryota; Metazoa; Chordata; Mammalia; Primates; Hylobatidae
Exons: 3
Source: RefSeq, a predicted model, not a curated record
AAGAGAGACUCCAUCUCAAAAAAAAAAAAAAAAAAGCAACACAUGCUCUGGGCUAAUCAUAUUGCUAAAUUUUUGUCUUAUUUUUCUGCAAGAAUAUAUUUGCUGUGUUAAGCUCUUUUUGAGUGUGUUUGCUGAACUACUUUGUGCUUACUCCCUGAAGCUGCAUUCCAGCCACUGUGAUGCCAGAGAUUAAUCAGGAGAAGCAUCACAUCACUAGCUGGUAAUGAGGAGAAGGGGAAAAAAAUGCCCAUUCAGGCUGGCAUCUCUCUAUUUUUAGGAAUAUACUGGGUCACAGUUUGUCACCAUCACAGGGUUCCCAGGAACGCCUAUGAAACCUUUUAUAGUGUAUCACCUUCUUUGCCCUGAUAAUGUCCAAAAGAAUCUCUAAAUACCUCAAGGGAAUGUCAUCAAAAAAUCCACAAAAACUAGAAUAAUAAAGCUGCUUAUAAAUCAUUUAACCACAAAAAAAAUAAAAGGCAAAUGGCUCAGGGGUGGGAGGUGGAAAAAGAAGAAUAUGAACAAGCUAGGCAGAAAUGAGAGAGAAGUAGAGGGAGUAGUUGAAAUAAAAAGUAAAUUUAAAAUGCAGUAUCACAACUUCAAAGCUGAAAAUCAAUGGAGUGAGGAAGAAAAAAAAUAGGCUCUAGAAGCAAUUACUAAUUUUCUUAGCAUACUGAGACUAAAAUAUAUAAAAUAGGCCUCUUAAACCAAGGCUAAGUAUAUAAAUUUAAGGAAUACCUGGUGACACAAUUUUGUUUUAUAGUAUUUAUCAUAGUUUUCAGUUAACAUAUUGAUUUAAAAAAUUCAUACUUUUGAAAAAUCACAAAGACAGAAAUAAACGGUCAAUAUCUUUUCAGCUAAAAUCAAGGGCUGAUCAAAGAUUACUAGCUUAAUAACUAUAUUAUGUCUUAUUAAAAAAUAACCAGCAUACAUUAGCAGUAAUGCUGUUUGACAGGAGAUGGAGUUAUGAUCUGAGUCAGAAAUUCUGUAUUUUUUACCCCUUGCUGUCUGUUUAUUUAAUGCAGUCAGACUAAUACUCAAAAUGGGAAGGUUUGCCACCUAUAUAACUUAUAUAUUACAAAAUCUUUGUAGCACAUAUGCUUUAAAGUCUGUAAGAUUCUAUGAAAAAUUCAAUUUUUUCUGAAAAAUUCAAUUUAUAUCUGAAACAUAUAACAUCAAAUGAACCUGAAAAUCAGUUCUUUGCACAAUAAUUCACUUUGAGUCAGCUGAACAGUAGGUAAACCACUGUCAAAUUAAGCACUUUAAAGAAUUAGUAAUUCCUCAGUAAAUCCCAUUCAUUCCAAUGGUAAGUUGCUUUUCUUAAAUCUCAAUCUACUUCUCAGCAGGAUACCUAGACUGGUAAACCAUCAGUAAAAUGUCAGCUUCCAUUGAAGGGAAGACAGAGGAGAAAAGGAGCAAAUGGGUAAACAGAAAUCUUUAUUAUUUACAAAAUGGAAAAAUGAAUUACUCUAGUAAUUACUAAUAUGGAAGGGAAGAAGAGGAACAAAAUCCUAAGUAUAAUAUUAACAGGCUAUGUACUCGAUCAUCCAGAGAGACGAUUGUACAUCACAGAAUAGGAAAGGACCUAUUAUCUAAUUCACAUCCCCUCUACCUUCAGACAAAAAUUAAAAAUAAACGUUACCAGAUGUGUUCACCACUUUAAAAUAUUUUUUAAUCCCCUUUAUCAGUAUAUCCCAUUUGUAUUAAAGCAUGCAUGAGCAAAAAGUUGUCCUUUUUGCUUAGAACUCUUACUCCCAUUUUAGCAGGAUUUUUAGAAUGUCCAAAAGACCAUACAGACCAUUAAAUCACUCUCCCACAUUAAAAAAUAAAACAAAAAGCACUACAACUAUUGUCUUUCAACUUUAAACGGUUUUAACUUUCUAUGUGUGGAAUAUUCUGAGUAUCCACUUUUUUUGGAUGUCUUAAUAUCUAUAUCUAAAAGAGAGGCCCCUAAUCAUUAAAGUGCUCUCAACCAAAAUGUUAACACUAAAAAUGUGACUUUAAAGGGAAAAAAAGGCAUUUGGCUCAUGGUUUACCUAUAACUCUCCCGUUAUGCUUUUCCUAACCUAUUAUUCUUUAGGGAAGAAUGAUUUCUUGCUUAUGAAAAAUGCUAAAAUAAACUUAUACUUCUCGAAUCUAGUUAACACUCCAGUCUUUCCAAAUAAUUUCGAAUUGAAUUUCCUAAGUCACCUCACCCUUCAACUUCAACCAACCUCCAAAGUAGUGGGCAUGCGCUGUACAGUCCAUCAGCCAAAUAACAAGAGGCAUUUUUAAAGGACAACACGUUGCUAAAUAAUUUUCUCCUUACAGGACAGUCCAGUGGAAUAACGGCUCAAAAAGCCCACGACUGACAUAUGUGUUAUUAUAAGCACAAAUACAGACUAUUUUUAACCUUAAAGGACGAUCAGAUUAUGUAAUAGUAUUAGUAGUACGGCUGCACAGGGUUUAGUUUUAAUCCUGGCUUUAAAAACCUGGUUGGGUAACAUGGUUCAUUCAGCUCCAUGGCUAGAUUUUGAAUCACUGAAAUCUAGAUUGAUUUUAUACCAGCUAUUAGUAAGUUCAAAACAUCUUGAGGCCUUCUGUUUUUCCCCUGACCUAUAAAAGAUACACCCAUGUCCAUGUUCGUACCUCUUCUGUCAUUAAACCAAAAGAAAAUAAACACCUAGUGACAGUAGACACCCUCAGGGCAUCUCCAUGAAAACACACAAAUAUUAAAGAUCUUUAAAAAUCUUUUAUGCCUAGCACCUCAAGAAGCUGUUAUGUCUGGUGAAAACCUUUGGUGCUUUUAGUAAAACGAACUUGCCGGGAAUUCAUAUAAAGAAAAUAAAAGAAACUUAAAAGAGUAGUUCCAGUUAUUGCAACAUAAACGCAGCUGCAAAAUGAUGUUCACGGGAAUGAGUCCUGCCAUGCAGUAGGACGGGUGUCAACCUCAGACCACUUUCCAGGGGGCGUUUCCUGACGCCCCCUGGCUUAGUGCCCAGGCAGGGGUCGUCCCUGGUUAACACGGGCAGGACAGGAGGGCGGCCCGCCCCUCCCUAGGCCCGAGGACGCGCCCGCAGCAGGGGAGCGGCUUCGGGAGCCAGGAGCUCGGCAAGCUGGGGAUCCUUGGGCGAGGAGUACAAAGGACCCGAGGCGAAGCCGGCGCCGGGAGGCAGAGCUGACCCCCGCGGGACUCUACCGGCCUGCAAGCGUUCGUCACGUGCUCGGUGGCUGCGGGGCCGGCCGUCCCGGCUGGGCGGGCUUCACCGCGUGGGCGCGGCAGUCGCCACUCACCGAGGUUGACGACCUUGAGCGCCGUGAAGAAGCGGUUCUGCCGGGCCAGGUCCUGCCAGGGAGCCUUGGAGCAGUGGUACUUGAUGAAGGGGAAGCAGCCGGCAUGGGUUCUCACUAUGUUGCUUAAGCUGGUCUGGAACUCAAGCCAGUCUCUCACUUCAGCCUCUUGAGUCGUUGGGAUUACAGGAGCCACCAUGUCCAACUGAUUUUGCUGUGUCACCCAGGCUGGAGUGCCAUGGCAUGAUCAUGACUCACUGCAGCCUCUACCUCCCAGGCUCAAGAGAUCCUCCUAGCUCAGCCUCCCAAGUAGCUGGGACUACAGACCCGUACUACUAUGCCCAGCUAAUCUUUUGUAUUUUGUAUUUUUUGUAGAGACAUGGUCUCACUUUGUUUUGCAGGCUGAUCUUGAACUUCUGGGCUCAAGCGAUCCUCCCACCUUGGCCUCCCAAUGUGUUGGGAUUACAGGUGUGAGUUGCGGCGCCCAGCUGAUAUGUAUACUUUUCUAUGUGUAUAUUACACUUCAAUAAAAAGUUUGAAACAGAAAA